GUAGCAAACAGGAUUAGAUACCCUGGUAGUCCACGCCGUAAACGAUGUCUACUAGUCGUUGGGUCCCUUGAGGACUUAGUGACGCAGCUAACGCAAUAAGUAGACCGCCUGGGGAGUACGGCCGCAAGGUUAAAACUCAAAUGAAUUGACGGGGGCCCGCACAAGCGGUGGAGCAUGUGGUUUAAUUCGAUGCAACGCGAAGAACCUUACCUGGUCUUGACAUAUCUAGAAUCCUGCAGAGAUGCGGGAGUGCCUUCGGGAAUUAGAAUACAGGUGCUGCAUGGCUGUCGUCAGCUCGUGUCGUGAGAUGUUGGGUUAAGUCCCGCAACGAGCGCAACCCUUGUCCUUAGUUACCAGCGGGUUAAGCCGGGAACUCUAAGGAUACUGCCAGUGACAAACUGGAGGAAGGCGGGGACGACGUCAAGUCAUCAUGGCCCUUACGACCAGGGCUACACACGUGCUACAAUGGUAGGUACAGAGGGCAGCUACACAGCGAUGUGAUGCGAAUCUCAAAAAGCCUAUCGUAGUCCAGAUUGGAGUCUGCAACUCGACUCCA
This 556-nucleotide ribosomal RNA is filed under the name Psychrobacter sp. RNAcentral describes it as "bacterial SSU rRNA". It matches the Rfam family "Bacterial small subunit ribosomal RNA", at positions 765 to 1320 of the family's 1533-position model. The record is from RNAcentral. Lineage: Bacteria; Pseudomonadati; Pseudomonadota; Gammaproteobacteria; Moraxellales; Moraxellaceae.